GAAUAUUGGGCAAUGGGCGAAAGCCUGACCCAGCCACGCCGCGUGCGGGAAGAAGGCCCACAGGGUUGUAAACCGCUUUUCUCCGGGAAUAAGGACCUGGCCUCCAGGUUUUGCAGGUACCGGGGGAAUAAGCACCGGCAAACUACGUGCCAGCAGCCGCGGUAAUACGUAGGGUGCAAGCGUUGUCCGGAUUCACUGGGUUUAAAGGGUGCGCAGGCGGCGGCGUAAGUCCGGGAUGAAAUGGGGGGGCUCAACCCCCUCGCUGUCCCGGAUACUGCGGCGCUCGAGUCACGAUGAGGUAACUGGAAUGGACGGUGUAGCGGUGAAAUGCGUAGAGAUCGUCCGGAACGCCGAUUGCGAAGGCAGGUUACUGGUCGUGCACUGACGCUCAGGCACGAAAGCGCGGGUAGCGAAC
RNAcentral lists this ribosomal RNA (415 nucleotides) under uncultured bacterium. Its description in RNAcentral is "bacterial SSU rRNA". It matches the Rfam family "Bacterial small subunit ribosomal RNA", at positions 359 to 773 of the family's 1533-position model. The record is from RNAcentral.